UACGUAGGGUGCGAGCGUUGUCCGGAAUUAUUGGGCGUAAAGAGCUCGUAGGCGGUGUGUCGCGUCGGCCGUGAAAACCUGCAGCUUAACUGUGGGCUUGCGGUCGAUACGGGCAUCACUGGAGUUCGGCAGGGGAGACUGGAAUUCCUGGUGUAGCGGUGAAAUGCGCAGAUAUCAGGAAGAACACCGGUGGCGAAGGCGGGUCUCUGGGCCGAUACUGACGCUGAGGAGCGAAAGCGUGGGGAGCGAGCAGG
RNAcentral lists this ribosomal RNA (254 nucleotides) under uncultured bacterium. RNAcentral's name for it is "partial 16S ribosomal RNA". It matches the Rfam family "Bacterial small subunit ribosomal RNA", at positions 524 to 776 of the family's 1533-position model. The record is from RNAcentral.